GCACACAUAAAAUCUGGCAGCACAUAUACUAAAAUUGGAAUGUUACAGAAAUUAGCAUGGCCGCUGCACAAGGAUGACACACAAAUUUGUGAAGCAUUCCAUAUUUUU
Small nuclear RNA from Pteronotus mesoamericanus, 108 nucleotides. Lineage: Eukaryota; Metazoa; Chordata; Mammalia; Chiroptera; Mormoopidae. The record is from RefSeq and is a predicted model, not a curated record.